AGCACCCCCGUCCGCGCAGAGAAAGGUUUUCCUUUGGAGCCACCCCGCUGCGUGCUCCUUGCGGGGGCCCGGCACCGAGAGAUGAGAGAUGCGCCGCGUCCUCGGCCUGUUCUCCGUCCCCGCGGCGCCGGCGCCUUGUCGGACGCGACGGCGUUUCCCUCGAAUGGUUUGCUCUUCAGGGGCCAAGUCAGGCCAGGGAGGCUCAGGGGCCUUCCAGAGAACAAGUCACUUCUCCAGUCUGGCUACAGAGAUGUAGCACUCACCCAAGAUGGCUCGGUGCCGCCACAGCAAAGGCACCUGACUGGUCUGGCCAGUGGGCUGUGUGUCUUCCUGAGAACUGAAAGGUCGCUGGUCCCCUUCUCCUCGGACACACGCCCGGGAUGCAGGGUCGGUCCUCGUUUCAGCGCAGCCAGAGGCAACCAACUGAGCCUUCUCUCCCUCUCUUUCUCCUUCUGUUACCCUCUCUCUCAAACUAAAUGAAUAAAUCUUAGA
Long non-coding RNA from Phyllostomus hastatus (greater spear-nosed bat), 492 nucleotides. RefSeq lists it as uncharacterized. NCBI's taxonomy places the organism in Eukaryota, Metazoa, Chordata, Mammalia, Chiroptera, Phyllostomidae. The record is from RefSeq and is a predicted model, not a curated record. The transcript has 3 exons.